RNAcentral lists this ribosomal RNA (499 nucleotides) under uncultured bacterium. Its description in RNAcentral is "bacterial SSU rRNA". It matches the Rfam family "Bacterial small subunit ribosomal RNA", at positions 30 to 523 of the family's 1533-position model. The record is from RNAcentral.
AUUGAACGCUGGCGGCGGGCUUAAUACAUGCAAGUCGAGGGGCAGCACGGUUAGCAAUAACUGGUGGCGACCGGCGCACGGGUGCGUAACACGUAUACAAUCUACCUUAAACAGGGGGAUAGCCUUUCGAAAGAGAGAUUAAUACCCCGUAAUAAAUUGAACGGCAUCGUUUGAUUUUGAAAGCUCCGGCGGUUUGAGAUGAGUAUGCGUCUGAUUAGCUAGUUGGUGAGGUAACGGCUCACCAAGGCGACGAUCAGUAGGGGAUCUGAGAGGACUAACCCCCACACUGGUACUGAGACACGGACCAGACUCCUACGGGAGGCAGCAGUAAGGAAUAUUGGUCAAUGGAGGCAACUCUGAACCAGCCAUGCCGCGUGCAGGAUGACGGCCCUAUGGGUUGUAAACUGCUUUUAUACAAGAGAAAACCCUGGUACGUGUACCAGGUUGAUAGUAUUGUAAGAAUAAGCAUCGGCUAACUUCGUGCCAGCAGCCGCGGUAA